Molecule: non-coding RNA, 102 nt
Organism: Acanthosepion pharaonis
Lineage: Eukaryota; Metazoa; Mollusca; Cephalopoda; Sepiida; Sepiidae
Source: the annotation of a GenBank genome assembly
ACACUGUGAAAUACUGGUUCUUGUAUGAUCACCGAAGCUAAGCAACAUUGAACCUUGUCAGUACCUAGAUGGGUAACUGCUUGGGAAUACCAGGUGCUGUAA